GCCAUGCGAGUCGAGAGGGUUCGGCCCUCGGCGAACUGCUCAGUAACACGUGGAUAAUCUGCCCUUAGGUGGAGGAUAACCUCGGGAAACUGAGAAUAAUACUCCAUAGACCUUUGAGGCUGGAAUGCGCUAAGAUUGAAAGCUUCGGCGCCUAAGGAUGAGUCUGCGGACUAUCAGGUUGUAGUCAGGGUAAAGACCUGACUAGCCUACGACGGAUACGGGUUGUGAGAGCAAUAACCCGGAGAUGAUAUCUGAGACACGAUAUCAGGCCCUACGGGGCGCAGCAGGCGCGAAAACUCCACAAUGCGCGAAAGCGCGAUGAGGGGAUCCCAAGUGCUUGCACGUAAGUGUAAGCUGUUUUUCUGUUUAAAAAGCAGAGAGAGUAAGAGCUGGGUAAGACGGGUGCCAGCCGCCGCGGUAAUACCUGCAGCUCAAGUGGUGGCCGCUAUUAUUGGGCCUAAAACGUCCGUAGCCGGCUAAGUAAAUGCCUGGGUAAAUCGUGCCGCUUAACGGUACGAAUUCCGGGUAGACUGCUUAGCUUGGGACCGGAAGAAGUUAGAGGUACUCCUGGGGUAGGGGUGAAAUCCUGUAAUCCUGGGGGGACCACCAGUGGCGAAGGCGUCUAACUAGGACGGGUCUGACGGUGAGGGACGAAGCCCUGGGGCGCAAACCGGAUUAGAUACCCGGGUAGUCCAGGGUGUAAACGCUGCUUGCUUGAUGUUAG
Molecule: ribosomal RNA, 724 nt
Filed under: uncultured archaeon
Lineage: Archaea
Description: bacterial SSU rRNA
Rfam family: Archaeal small subunit ribosomal RNA
Source: RNAcentral